GGGGAAUAUUGCACAAUGGGCGAAAGCCUGAUGCAGCGACGCCGCGUGAGGGAUGACGGCCUUCGGGUUGUAAACCUCUUUCAGCAGGGAAGAAGCGAAAGUGACGGUACCUGCAGAAGAAGCACCGGCUAACUACGUGCCAGCAGCCGCGGUAAUACGUAGGGGGCGAGCGUUGUCCGGAUUCAUUGGGCGUAAAGAGCUCGUAGGCGGUUUGGUAAGUCGGGUGUGAAAACCCCAGGCUCAACCUGGGGACGCCACCUGAUACUGCUAUGACUUGAGUCUGGUAGGGGACCACGGAAUUCCUGGUGUAGCGGUGAAAUGCGCAGAUAUCAGGAGGAACACCGGUGGCGAAGGCGGUGGUCUGGGCCAGUACUGACGCUGAGGAGCGAAAGCGUGGGUAGCAAA
Molecule: ribosomal RNA, 405 nt
Filed under: uncultured bacterium
Lineage: Bacteria
Description: bacterial SSU rRNA
Rfam family: Bacterial small subunit ribosomal RNA
Source: RNAcentral